RNAcentral lists this ribosomal RNA (459 nucleotides) under uncultured bacterium. Its description in RNAcentral is "partial 16S ribosomal RNA". It matches the Rfam family "Bacterial small subunit ribosomal RNA", at positions 338 to 795 of the family's 1533-position model. The record is from RNAcentral.
CCUACGGGUGGCAGCAGUGAGGAAUAUUGGUCAAUGGGCGCAAGCCUGAACCAGCCAAGUCGCGUGAGGGAAGACGGUCCUAUGGAUUGUAAACCUCUUUUAUCCGGGAGCAAAACACGCCACGCGUGGCGUUCCGAAAGUACCCGAAGAACAAGCAUCGGCUAACUCCGUGCCAGCAGCCGCGGUAAUACGGAGGAUGCGAGCGUUAUCCGGAUUUAUUGGGUUUAAAGGGGGCGCAGGGGGAAGAUCAAGUCAGCGGUAAAAUUGAGAGGUGAAAUCUCUACGAGCCGUUGAAACUGGUUUUCUUGAGUGAGCUAGAGGUAGGCGGAAUGCGUGGUGUAGCGGUGAAAUGCAUAGAUAUCACGCAGAACUCCGAUUGCGAAGGCAGCAUACCGGCGCUUAACUGACGCUCAUGCACGAAAGUGUGGGGAUCGAACAGGAUUAGAUACCCCUGUAGUC